CGACCGCUGGCGGCGUGCUUAACACAUGCAAGUCGAACGGAAAGGCCCUGCUUUUGUGGGGUGCUCGAGUGGCGAACGGGUGAGUAACACGUGAGUAACCUGCCCUUGACUUUGGGAUAACUUCAGGAAACUGGGGCUAAUACCGGAUAGGAGCUCCUGCUGCAUGGUGGGGGUUGGAAAGUUUCGGCGGUUGGGGAUGGACUCGCGGCUUAUCAGCUUGUUGGUGGGGUAGUGGCUUACCAAGGCUUUGACGGGUAGCCGGCCUGAGAGGGUGACCGGCCACAUUGGGACUGAGAUACGGCCCAGACUCCUACGGGAGGCAGCAGUGGGGAAUAUUGCACAAUGGGCGGAAGCCUGAUGCAGCAACGCCGCGUGCGGGAUGACGGCCUUCGGGUUGUAAACCGCUUUCGCCUGUGACGAAGCGUGGGUGACGGUAAUGGGUAAAGAAGCACCGGCUAACUACGUG
RNAcentral lists this ribosomal RNA (466 nucleotides) under uncultured bacterium. Its description in RNAcentral is "partial 16S ribosomal RNA". It matches the Rfam family "Bacterial small subunit ribosomal RNA", at positions 30 to 507 of the family's 1533-position model. The record is from RNAcentral.